UUUUAAUUUAAAUCUACGUUUAUUUAUAUAGAACUGGAAGUUUUAAUAGGUUAAAUGAAGGUCUGAUAAUGCCACUAAAGUUUAAUCUAGAAAACUUCACAAAUACGAAAGUACAGACGCUUGAACGUAAAACUUUGCGUCAGCAAGAAGAAAUAGCAGAGUUGAAACGACAAAAUGCUUUACUUCACCUAAGGUUGGCACAAGCAUUACAGACUGCACAGUCAAGCAGGGAAGAAACAAAAUCAAUCUCAUCUCUGCAACAUAAGCAGGCAUUCAAUGUACAACGCAGCAACAAACACCUUGAGCAAACUCAAUCAGAACUGCAGCAUGUGCGAGACGAACUUGAAGUUCUAUCAAGUGACGUCGUGUCCAUGUUUUGCAACCUUCAGCAUUCAUGUUCCAACAAGCUACAAGUUGUUCAGCAAAAAGUUAACUCAGUGAAAAUGUCCAAUGAAGCAAAUGAGGCACUUCAAGUUCGUUUACACGAACUACACACAGUGUUAGAAGAAACACAAGCUUUGCAUUUGCGUGAAAAACAUAGAAGGCGUGAACUUCAUAAUAAUCUCGUUGAAAUACGAGGAAAUAUUCGUGUUCAAUGUAGAUUAAGACCAUAUUUGGAGUAUGAUAAAGACCCAGAUUCAGUGUUUCCAGAUGCUGUUUCUACUUGUAGUGAUGCCAGUGAAAAGGACAUUAGUGUAUAUUCGACCGAUGAUGAAACAAUAUCUGUGGAUUCCGAUUUCAAACCUCAAAAAUAUUUUGAAUAUGAGCAUGUGUAUGGACCUGAUUGCAGCCAGAAUGAUAUUUUUGAUGAAAUCCAACCAAUCUUAACCUCAUUCCUCGAUGGUUACAACGCAUGUGUUGUCGCCUAUGGUCAAACUGGAAGUGGAAAAACCCAUACUAUGCUGGGAAAUCCCCAUAAUCCAGGGAUAGUCCCUAAUUCAAUGAAUGAAUUGUUCAGGUUAAUUGAAGAGAAAUCCACAGAUUCUAUUUCUCUUGAAGUAUCUGUAGCUGAGGUUUACAAUAAUGAUAUUUAUGAUUUGUUAUCGGACAACCCAAAGCAGUUGAAACACGAUAUUGUCACAACACGUGGCAGUAGUAGAGACGUACCCACGUUGACGCAAAUCAAAGUGAAAUGUCCUGAAGAUGUUGAAUCCUUGAUGAGACUUGGUUUAAACAGGCGUGCACAGAUCGCUACCAAUGUCCACGAACAUUCAAGUCGUUCUCACCUCAUUGUAACCGUCACAGCCAUUGUAUGUCAACGUGAUGCACGUCCACAGUCAGUAUCUUCCAAUGUGUCAUCGGAACCAAACACACCAAGAAGAAGACCGUCUUCUGUAGAUUCCACCCACAGAGUGCGUCGCAAACUCCCCCAACCGACCCCUCCUAUAUUUGCAUCCACACCAAACCUUACCACCGAUGAUGUCAUCAAGUCAGUACCGGCAUCACCAGUUACCAUGCCAACCAAGUCCAUGUAUAAAACUAAACUACAACUUGUGGACCUUGCUGGCAGUGAAUGCGUGGUUACUCCACUUCCACCCAGGGAUGUCUGGAGUGACAGGAUCUGCUCUUCGCGAGUCCUCCUUCAUCAAUAGAUCGCUCUCUGCGCUCUCCGAUGUCCUCACUGCACUCUCGGAGCGGCGAUCCCACAUCCCGUACAGGAACUCCAAGCUCACUCAUCUCCUACAGGACUCUAUAGGAGGAGAUGCCAAGAUGAUGAUCAUGCUCUGCGUCUCCCCAACAAGGAAGUACCUCACUGAGACGAUGCAAACUUUACAAUUUGGUAGCCGAGCGCGACAGGUGCAGAGGGGCCCACCCCGAAAGAGGGGUACAUCACCCCAUGCUACCCCACGAGGGGAAUCACCAAUGAAAUCCAGUUCACCCAGACAGAUCCCACAAUCUGUAGUUAGAAGGGUGUUUAAUUAACUUGAAGUUUCAUCAACUGUUAUCUUCAUAAAAGACAGGUUUGAGUUAGUAUGUGAAUUCUGGAUACAUUGUGCUUCAAUAGUUUGUAUCUUUUUAAACUACCAAUAUUUUAAAUGUUUUUCUUUUUUGAUUCUUGGUAACUAUCAUAUACAUUGUAAUUCAAAACAAUUUUAUUAAAUGUUGAAUGUCAGUAUAACUCUGACCUUGACCAUAUAGAGGAUAAAUAACUGAAAUUAUUCCAUUUAACCUGGGUAAUAUAGACCUCUAUGUAUGUUAACCAUAAUAAUGUUGUUUUGCUUAAUGUAGUGCUAUUUGCUGUGUAUUCAAGAAUUUGUGGAAGGUCAGGUUUCAGUAUAAUGGGUCCCAGAUCCCAGAUAACCUUUUUGGACCUGGUGCAAUGUUGAUAUAAACGGUAGAUUGGGGUAAGAUGGUUUAUGUUUUCAUUCUCUCUUGUUGUCGCAUUUGGUAUUAAACGUAUCCUCGCAACUCUAAAAUAGUGUUGUUAGUAGUUAAAAACACGAGUAGGAAUUAUUGGAUAUUAUUAUCCAUCUUACCCCACAGUACUUUACAUAAAGGAAAUUAAUAGCAUUUACAACAAACAAGAAAUAUCCUAUUUUUCUGUGUUUCGUUUUUUUGUAGUAGUGUGAUCAAGAAAUAUAUUUGCACUGUGAUUUUGUAGUAAUUUUAAAAAAUUGCAUUCUUGCCUAAAGAAAAAUACCUUGCAUACUUCUAAAA
Non-coding RNA from Ciona intestinalis (vase tunicate), 2658 nucleotides. The record is from RefSeq and is a predicted model, not a curated record. Lineage: Eukaryota; Metazoa; Chordata; Ascidiacea; Phlebobranchia; Cionidae.